This 321-nucleotide ribosomal RNA is filed under the name uncultured eukaryote. Its description in RNAcentral is "partial 18S ribosomal RNA". It matches the Rfam family "Eukaryotic small subunit ribosomal RNA", at positions 1470 to 1796 of the family's 1831-position model. The record is from RNAcentral.
CCCUUAGAUGUCCUGGGCGGCCCGCGCGCUACAAUGUCAGCUACUGAAGGUUAAUGCUUUGAAAGAGAGCGCGCUCUCCUUUUAAUUGCUCGCAUGCUGGGAUAAAUGAAUGCAAUUUUGUUUUGAACGAGGAAUUCCUAGUAGCCAUGUUUCACUAGAAGAUGGCGAAUGCGUCCCUGCCCUUUGUACACACCGCCCGUCGCUCCUACCGAUUGAGUGGUCCGGUGAGGCUUUGGGAUCUGAGCGGAAAGAGCGUUUCGCUGUUUCUGCUCGGAAAACUCAGUCGAACCUUAUCAUUUAGAGGAAGGAGAAGUCGUAACA